This 468-nucleotide ribosomal RNA is filed under the name uncultured bacterium. RNAcentral describes it as "partial 16S ribosomal RNA". It matches the Rfam family "Bacterial small subunit ribosomal RNA", at positions 28 to 507 of the family's 1533-position model. The record is from RNAcentral.
GACGAACGCUGGCGGCGUGCUUAACACAUGCAAGUCGAACGGAAAGGCCCUGCUUUUGUGGGGUGCUCGAGUGGCGAACGGGUGAGUAACACGUGAGUAACCUGCCCUUGACUUUGGGAUAACUUCAGGAAACUGGGGCUAAUACCGGAUAGGAGCUCCUGCUGCAUGGUGGGGGUUGGAAAGUUUCGGCGGUUGGGGAUGGACUCGCGGCUUAUCAGCUUGUUGGUGGGGUAGUGGCUUACCAAGGCUUUGACGGGUAGCCGGCCUGAGAGGGUGACCGGCCACAUUGGGACUAAGAUACGGCCCAGAAGCCUACGGGAGGCAGCAGUGGGGAAUAUUGCACAAUGGGCGGAAGCCUGAUGCAGCAACGCCGCGUGCGGGAUGACGGCCUUCGGGUUGUAAACCGCUUUCGCCUGUGACGAAGCGUGAGUGACGGUAAUGGGUAAAGAAGCACCGGCUAACUACGUG